AGAUUGAACGCUGGCGGCAUGCCUUACACAUGCAAGUCGAACGGCAGCACGGGAGCUUGCUCCUGGUGGCGAGUGGCGAACGGGUGAGUAAUACAUCGGAACGUACCCUGAAGUGGGGGAUAACGUAGCGAAAGUUACGCUAAUACCGCAUAUUCUGUGAGCAGGAAAGAGGGGGAUCGCAAGACCUCUUGCUUUAGGAGCGGCCGAUGUCGGAUUAGCUAGUUGGUGAGGUAAAGGCUCACCAAGGCGACGAUCCGUAGCGGGUCUGAGAGGAUGAUCCGCCACACUGGGACUGAGACACGGCCCAGACUCCUACGGGAGGCAGCAGUGGGGAAUUUUGGACAAUGGGCGCAAGCCUGAUCCAGCCAUGCCGCGUGAGUGAAGAAGGCCUUCGGGUUGUAAAGCUCUUUCGGUGGGGAAGAAAUUGCUUCGGUUAAUACCUGGAGUAGAUGACGGUACCCGCAUAAGAAGCACCGGCUAACUACGUG
This 488-nucleotide ribosomal RNA is filed under the name uncultured bacterium. RNAcentral describes it as "bacterial SSU rRNA". It matches the Rfam family "Bacterial small subunit ribosomal RNA", at positions 26 to 507 of the family's 1533-position model. The record is from RNAcentral.